UGGGGGAAUUGGGAAAGAAGGGGUUUAUGAAGAAGAAAAUAGAGUCAAAGGAAUGGUGACGUCAUUUAGUGGAAAUUCCUUUGGCUUUUUUUUAUUUAUUUAGUCUUUUAUUUGUUAAUUCCUUCUUUCACUUUUUUUUUUAUAUUCUUUUUCUACUUUUUCUUAUUUUCAUGUUUCACGUCCAAGAAUUCGAUUCAAUUAAAAUUUAUAUUGAAAAAUCUUAUAUUAUAAAAUAAAAUGCUACUUAACAAAGGUGAUUUUACAAUAAGAAUUUGAAUUCAAAUAUCUUUA
This 291-nucleotide long non-coding RNA is filed under the name Solanum tuberosum (potato). RNAcentral describes it as "long non-coding RNA (STUB_LNC010505)". Lineage: Eukaryota; Viridiplantae; Streptophyta; Magnoliopsida; Solanales; Solanaceae. The record is from RNAcentral.